RNAcentral lists this ribosomal RNA (429 nucleotides) under Pseudomonadota bacterium. Its description in RNAcentral is "Proteobacteria bacterium partial 16S ribosomal RNA". It matches the Rfam family "Bacterial small subunit ribosomal RNA", at positions 355 to 776 of the family's 1533-position model. The record is from RNAcentral. Lineage: Bacteria; Pseudomonadati; Pseudomonadota.
UGGGGAAUAUUGGACAAUGGGGGGAACCCUGAUCCAGCCAUGCCGCGUGUGUGAAGAAGGUCUUCGGAUUGUAAAGCACUUUAAGUUGGGAGGAAGGGCAGUAAGCGAAUACCUUGCUGUUUUGACGCUACCGACAGAAUAAGCACCGGCUAACUCUGUGCCAGCAGCCGCGGUAAUACAGAGGGUGCAAGCGUUAAUCGGAAUUACUGGGCGUAAAGCGUGCGUAGGCGGCUAAUUGAGUCGGAUGUGAAAUCCCCGAGCUUAACUUGGGAAUUGCAUUCGAUACUAGUUAGCUAGGGUGUGGGGGAGGAUGGGAGAAUUCCAGGUGUAGCGGUGAAAUGCGGAGAAAUCUGGAGGAAUACCGAUGGCGAAGGCAGCCAUCUGGCCUAACACUGACGCUGAGGUACGAAAGCAUGGGGAGCAAACAAG